This 471-nucleotide ribosomal RNA is filed under the name uncultured bacterium. Its description in RNAcentral is "bacterial SSU rRNA". It matches the Rfam family "Bacterial small subunit ribosomal RNA", at positions 40 to 518 of the family's 1533-position model. The record is from RNAcentral.
CGGCGUGCUUAACACAUGCAAGUCGAACGGUACUUACUAAGUAGUAAUACGAAGUUUGUAUAGUGGCGGACGGGUGAGUAACGCGUGAGUGACCUGCCUACAAGAGGGGGAUAACACCGGGAAACCGGUGCUAAUACCGCAUAAGACCACGACCUCGCAUGGGGAUGUGGUAAAAGGAGUAAUCCGCUUGUAGAUGGACUCGCGUCCCAUUAGCUAGUUGGUGAGGUAACAGCUCACCAAGGCGACGAUGGGUAGCCGACCUGAGAGGGUGAUCGGCCACACUGGAACUGAGACACGGUCCAGACUCCUACGGGAGGCAGCAGUGGGGAAUAUUGGGCAAUGGGCGAAAGCCUGACCCAGCAACGCCGCGUGAGGGAAGAAGGUCUUCGGAUUGUAAACCUCUGUCCUUGGGGACGAAAAAAUGACGGUACCCAAGGAGGAAGCCCCGGCUAACUACGUGCCAGCCGCCGC